This 42664-nucleotide long non-coding RNA is filed under the name Homo sapiens (human). Its description in RNAcentral is "non-protein coding NIFK-AS1:25". Lineage: Eukaryota; Metazoa; Chordata; Mammalia; Primates; Hominidae. The record is from RNAcentral.
CUGGCCGUGUUAGGCUUCGCUGGCGUAAAGUCCCCGGGAGCUUUGCCCCUCACGGAGAACGUUAGUUGACCCUGAUGGGGACCCGUAGGGUAAAGGUUUUGUUUUUGUUUUUUUUUACGGAAAAGGUUGUGGUUAGGCCCCUUGGAAAGUUGCGACAAAACUCGAGUUAGACAAGGAAGGUCGGAACUAAGUGGCCACAGCAACAAUGCACCAGCAAGCAGGGAGCGUGAUAGGAAGAGCUAAAGAGGAAUCGGGAAACCCUGGAGAUGGGUUUCACCAUGUUUCCCAGCCUUGUCUCAAACUCCUGACCUCAAGUGAUCCGCCGUCUUGGGUCUUCGAAAGUGCUGGGACAGCAGGAGUGAGCCACCGCAUCUGGCCCGGAAAGUGUUUUGGAGCGUAGAAAAAUGCAAAUUAUAGGGCUGCCUUCAAGGAUCCCGAAGGACCCACAGAUUUGCCGCAUCAGGCUCCUAUGCACGCCGGUAAUUUGAUGUGUUGAGAUGCACUGCCCAGUGCGUUGUUUUUACUGGAGGAGCUUGUGUGCGGAGCUCCUUGCUAGUGUAUGUGUUGGGAUGGGAGAGAAGUGCGGGAGAACUAUGAGAUAAUGCCCCCUGAUCCUCAGGGUCUUAGGAGGUAUGGUCGGAGAGGCUAAGCUAAAGUAUGAAAGCCGUGUGUAGGCCCUUCUGUGUAGUGCAGAAAAGGUAGAGGUAUGUGAUUUGAAAGAGUAGGGAUGACAUGGAGGAUGCGACUCCUGGUUGGAUCUAUAAACUAAUGUCUUUGGAACGAAAGCACAUGCAACCUUUUGAAAAUGGAUGGGUGAUAAUGAAAGACCAUUCCAGAGAAGAAACACCAUGGUGCAAAGGCUCAAGAGGCAUACUGGAAGUACAAUGAAGAGAGCAAUCUAACUGAAAUGGGAAAAAAAGAAACAAAGAGUAAAAAGUAAGAUUUGAUGAGAAAGAUGGAAUCGAUUUUUAAAUUUUUUUAUCUACACAACAAAAUUUAUUAUCUUAACCAUUUUUGAGUGAAUAAUUCGUUAGUAUUAAGUAUAUUUACCUCGUGCGGCCAGUCUCCAGAAUUCUUUUCAUCUUGCAAAACAAACCCCGAACCCAUUAAACAAUUUCUCAUUCGCCAUUUUCCAGCUAGCCUUGGUAACCUCCAUUCUAGUUCUGUCUCUGUGAAUUUGACUGUGUACCCCGUGUAAGUGGUAUCAUACAGUAUUUGUAUUUUUGUGACUGGCAUAUUUCACAUAGCAUAAUCUCCUUGUGGUUUAUCCAUCUUGUAGCAUGUGUCAGAAUUUCCUUCCCUUUUAAGACUAAAUAAUAUUCCAUUGUGUGUAUAUACCACUUGUGUUAUUUCCACCUUUUGGUUAUUGUGAAUAAUACUGCUUCAAACAUGAGUGUACAGAUAACUCUUCAAGAUCCUUUUAGGGUAAUACAGAGAUAGUAAGUUAUCUUGAUUGUUCACUGCCAGUUACAGACCAAACUCCUUGUUCUCCUUGUGCUCCACUUCUCAACCACUGCACUUGGCUAGUCUUAAACAAAAAAAGAAAAACCCUAAUUUUAAUAGCUUGUGGGGACAGACGCAGUGGCUCACGCCUAUAAUCCCAACACUUUGGGAGGCCGAGGUGGGUGGAUCACUUGAGGUCAAAAGUUCGAGACCAGCCUGGCCAAUAUGGUAAAACCCUGUCUCUACUAAAAAUACAAAAAUUAGCCGGGUACGGUGGCACACACCUGUAAUCCCAGCCACUCAGGAGACUGAGGCAGGAGAAAUGCUUGAACCCAGGAAGUGGAGGUUGUGGUGAACGGAAAUUGCGCCGCCGCACUCAAGCUGGGCGACAGCGAGACUCCGUCUCAAAAAUUAGUAUUAAUAGAAUGUGGGAGAUUUUGAAACCAAGUAUAGAAAUUCAUACUUUAUAUUGUUUAAGGUCCGUGACUAGGCAUAGUAACAUGAUGAAAGAACUGUUUUGGGUUUGUUUGGUUUUUUUCCGAGACAGAGUCUCACUCUGUUGCCCAGGCUGGCGUGCAGUGGUGCGAUCUCGGCUCACUGCAACCUCUGCCUCCCUGGUUGAAGCGAUUCUCUUUCCUCAGCCUCCUGAGUAGCUGGGACUACAGGCACAUGCCACCACGCCCAGCUAAUCGUUGUAUUUUUAGUAGAGGCGGGGUUUCACCAUGUUGGCCAGGAUGGUCUCGAUCUCUUGACCUCGUGAUCCAGCCUCCCAAAGUGCUGGGAUUACAGGCAGGAGCCACCACGCCCAGCUAGAAAGAUCUGUUUCAGAAAGCAACUCUGGCAGUGGAAGCUGAAUACAUACUCCAUUUCUAUAAAGCAUUUAUGGAGGCCUCUAGAUGUGCCAGGCAUUGUACUACUGCUUUAUGUAAAUUAUUGAUGGGUCCGCGAAUCCAUUAAUAUAAAUGUGAGCCAGUUGUUGUGCACCCCAAUUUACAGGCAAGAAAAUCAAGGUUCUGAGUUGCAGAUGGGCUGAGAAAAGGCUCACCAACCACAUGUACGCACAAGAGAUUAGGAAAGAAAACUGCCAUUGGAGCCAGGCUCCAGUAAGCACUGAGUAUUCAUUGGUUUGGAUGAGGAUACUGAAAGAAAAAAAUGACAUGUAAGAGUGACUUUUCUCAGGAGAAAGAAUAGGCUGACAUCAAGAGUCUUUGCUGUCACAUUAGUGGUAUGUAUAAGGGCACAACACAACAGAAGUACAUUUUUCAAGGUUCGUAAAAGAACCCUGGGGUUUGCUUUUAGGUUUGUUUAUUACCUUUAACAAAUAUAAAAUGCCAGGUAAAUAUAUCUUUGUAUGUAGUAGAGAAAUUAAUAAGACAUACCCUUCCCUACUCAACAUUUCAUCUUUGAUUUUAUAUUCUCAAAAAUAUUGUGAGGUCUUUUAAGGAAAUGAUCUCCUUUUGGCAGAUGAGGAAAUUGAGGGCCAGAGAGGAAAAAUUAUCUUCCCAAUGCCACAUGCCUAAUUGGUCUCAAAGCUUUGACUGGAACCUGAGCCUCCAGAAUUGCUGCUAUGCUUUCAUCUCCCUUAGAGAGAUAGAUAACAGUAGUCAGAGUGAGUGGACAAUUCUUCUAUUCAGUCAGUCUGAUCUUCCUCAGGGAUGCAUAUCCAGACUCCCAUGCAGCUAGUGAUAGUUAAACAAAGAGGCAGAGAAUAUAGUGCAUUAUAAAUAGCAUUCAUACACUCAAAAAUAUUGUGUGCCGAUACUGUGCCAAACACUUAGCAAAGCAGGGAAAAAUCCCUGUCCUCAUAGCAGAGACUAAAAAUAUUAAUAAGUAAAAUAUAUACUAAGACAGGUAGGAUAAGUGUUGGCAAGAAAAAGUGAAGCAGUGAGAGGGGAAUAGGGUGAGCCGAGAGUAGGGAGGGAGGUUUUUGUUUAUACCAGAGGCAGAGGAGCCCCACUGAGAAGGCAAACUGUACAAAGAUCUAAAGGAGGCAAAGGAACAAGAAAUGUGCCUUGGGUGGACAGGGAACAUUCUGGGUGGAAUAACAAGUGCAGAAAUCAUUAAGGCAGAAAGAUGCCUACUACAUUCUGAGAACAGAAAGCAGUCCAGAGUGAUAGAAGCAGAGUACAGGAGGGUAAAAGUAGGAAAUGAAGUCAGAGAGGUAAGAGGAAUUCAAAUUGGGCAUGGACUUACAGGCCAUUGUAAGGACUUUGGCUUUUUCUGAGGGAGAUGGGAAGCCAUCGUUGAGUAGAAAAAUAGUGAAAUUCUACUUAUAUAUUUAAAGAAUCACAUUGACUUCUAGUUUGACACUAGAUUAUUGAGGAGCAAGGGGGACCACUUAGGAAGCUAUUGUAAUACUCCAGGUGAGAGAUAAGUGGCAUAGAAAAGGUGCAAGCAGUGGAGGGAUGAGGUAUCUGGAUAUAUUCAGGGUGGCACACAGGAUUUGAUGACAAUUUAUAUAGGAUAUGAGAAAAUGAAGGGAGUCCAAGGUGACUACGAUUUUUGGCCUGAGCAUUUUGAAGAAUGGUGUUGUCAUUUACUGAACUGGGAAAGAUGGAGGAGCAGGUUGGGGAUGGGAAGAGAUAAAUUCCAUUUUGGGCCAGGCAGGGUGGCUCACACCUGUAAUCCCAGUACUUUGGGAGGCCAAGGCAGGCAGAUCGCUUGAGCUCAGGAGUUCAAAACCAGCCUGGGUAACAUGGUAAAACCCCAUCUCUACAAAAAUUAGCCAGGUAUGGUGGCAGAUGCCCAUAGUCUCAGCUGCUUGGGAGGAUCACUUGAGCCCUGGAGGUGGAGGUUGCAGUGAGCCAAAAUGGCACCACUGCACUCCAGCCUGGGUGACAGAAUGAGACCCCGUCUCAAAAAGACAAACAAAAAUUCUGUUUUGGAGCUUAAAUUUGAGAUGCCUGUUAGAAUGCCACAUGAAAAUAUUAAGAAGAGAGUUAGAUAUGUAGGAGUCUGGAAUUUAGAAAUGUCCAGACUGGAGAUGUAAAUUUGGGAGAGAGCAUGUAGAGAGUAUUUGAAGCCAUGAAAUAAUCUACAUAUAAAGUGUAGACAGAUGUUUGAGAAAGGUAUCUUAGGCACUGAAACAGGAGGAAACCAGGAAAAGAAUCCCAGUUGAACUGGGUGGGGAGGAUGGCUCAAGGAAGAACAACCAUGUCAAUUGCUGGGUUCUAACUGGCCACUGCUUAUGAUAGUGGAGUAGUAAGGAUAAAAGCCUGAUUGGAAUGGAUUUAGAAUAGUGGGAACGGAAUUGGAGAGAGGGAGAAUAGAUAAUUUGGGUAUGGAGUUGGUUGUAAGGAUAGCGGGUAGAAAAGUGAUAACUGCAAGGGGUCAAGACAGUGGUUUUAAAAUUACUUCACAAAUUUUUUAGUAUUUCUAAAAGAAUUCUUUUUUUAAUAAAUAUAACUUCAGACCGCUAUUGUUCCUUUGUAUCAACUACCCUGUUAUUCAAAUUAACCCAACUGUCUUAUAAAAUUUUUUGCUACCAGCUUUAUUGAGAUAUAAUUCAUAUACCAUACUAUUCACUCAUUUAAAGUAUACAAUUCAACAACUUUAGUGCAUUCAAAGAGUUGUGCAGGGUGGGCGCGGCAGCACAUGCCUGUAAUUCCAGCACAUUGGGAAGCCAAGACGAGGAUCAUUUGAGCCAAGGAGUUCGAGCUCAGCCUGGGCAACAUGCAAAACCACUUCUCUACAAAAAUUAGCUAGGCGUGGUGGUGUGCGCAUGUAGUCCCAGCUACCUGGGAGGCUGAGGUGGGAGGAUUACUUGAGCCCAGGAGGCAGACAUUGCAGUGAGCGCCACUGCACUCCAGCCUGGGCAACAAAGUGAGACCCUGUCUCAAAAAAAAAAACAAAAGUUGUGCAACCACCAUUACAAUUUGUUUUAGGACAUUUUCAGCACCCCAAAAAGAAACAUUACUAUGCACUUAGGGUGAUAAUGAUGUGUCAGUGUAGGUUCAUCAAUUGUAACCACUCCGGUGAGGGAUGUUGAUAAUGGGGUGACUGAUUUUGAUUUGCUGUGUGUGUGUGUGUGUGUGUGUGUGUGUGUGUGUGUGAGAGAGAGAGAGACAGGGUCUCACUCUGUCACCCAGGCUAGCAUGCAGUAGCACAAUUACAGCUCACCACAGCUUCAACCUCCCAUCGCAGCCUCCUGAGUAGCUGGGACAACAAACGCGCACCACCAUGCCUAGCUAAUUUUUGUGUUUUCUGUAGAGACAGGCUUUCACCAUGUUGCCCAGACUCGUCUCGAAGUCAGCUCAAGUGAACCCCUGCCCUGGCCUCCCAGAGUGCUGAGAUUACAGGCCUGAGCCACCAUGCCUGGCCAAUUUGCUUUUUUUUUUUUUUUUUUUUUGAGACAGGUCUCGCUCUGUUGCCCAGGCUGGUGUGUGUGCAGGCUGGCACAAUAUUGGCUCACUGCAGCCUCCACCUCCUGGGCUCAAGCGAUCCUCCCACCUCAGCCUUCUAAGUAGCUAGGACUACAGACAUGUGCCACCAUGCCUAGCUAAUUUUUUUAAUUUUUUUGUAGAGACGGGAUUUAGCCAUGUCACUCAGGCUGGUCUCAAACUACUGGGCUCAAGUGAUCCUCUCACCUUGGCCUCCCAAAGUGUUGGGAUUACAGGUGUGAGCCACUGCACCCAGUAGAUCAUGUGUUUUUUAUUCUUUGUUAAUAUGGGCCAUUACAUUGCUUUUAUGAAUUCCCAGAGCAAAUCUCACUUGAUUAUGAUGUAUAAUCCUUUUUAUAUGUCACUGAAAUUGAUUUGAUAGUAUUUUGUUGAAGACUUUUGCAUCUUUGUUAAUAAGAGCUAUUGAGGCAGGGCAUGGUGAUGAAUGCCUGUAAUCCCAACACUUUGGAAGGCCAAGACGGGAGGAUUGCUUGAGCUCAGGAGUUGAAGACAAGCCCAGGCAACACAUUGAAACCCUGUCUCUACAAAAAAUACAGACAUUAGCUGGGCAUGAUGAUAUAUGCCUGUAGUUCCAGCUACUUGGGAGGCUGAGGCGGAAGGGUCACUUGAGCCCUGGAGGUCAAGGCUGCAGUGUGCCAAAAUUGCACCACUGCAUUCCAGCCUGGGCAACAGAAUGAGACCCUGUCUCAAAAAAUAAAUAAGUAAAUAAGAGAUAUUUGUCUCUAAUUUUCUUGUGAUGUCUGAUUUUGGUAUCAAGAUAAUACUGGCCAUAUAAAAUGAGUUGGGAAAUGUUCCCUCCUCAUCUAUUUUUUCAAGAAUUUGUGAAGUUUUGCAUUCAUUAUUAUUACUUUUCUUUUUUGAGACAGAGUCUCACUCUGUCACCCAGGCUAGAGUGCAGUGGCACCAUCUUGGCUCACUGCAACCACCUCUGAGUUCAAGCGAUUCUCGUGCCUCAGCCUGCCGGGUAGCUGGGACUAUAGGUGUGCGCCACCAGGCCCAGCUAAUUUUUGUAUUUUAUGUAUUUAUUUAUUUAUUUAUUGAGAUGGAGUCCCACUCUAUUGCUCAGGCUCCUAGGCUGGAGUGCAAUGGCGUGAUCUUGGCUCACUGCAACCUUCACCUCCCAGGUUCAAGCAAUUCUCCUGCCUCAGCCUCCUGAGUAGCUGGGAUUACAGGUGCGUGUCGCCACGCCUGGCUAAUUUUUGUAUUUUUAGUAGAGACGGGGUUUCACCGUGUUGGACAGGCUGGUCUCGAACUCCUGACCUCGUGAUCCACCUACCUUGGCCUCCCCAAAGUGCUGGGAUUACAGAUGUGAGCUACCAUGCCUAGCUAUUUUUUUUUUAUUUUAAGUGGAAACAGGGUUUCGUUAUGUUGGCCAGGCUGGUCUCAAACUCCUGGCCUCAAGUGAUCCACCCACCUCGGCCUCCCAAAGUGCUGGGAUUACAGGUGUGAGCCACCAUGCCCAGCCUGCGUUCUGUGUUUGUUUGUUUGUUUGUUUGUUUUUGAGACAGACUCUUGCUCUGUCACCCAGGCUGGAGUGCAGUGUUGCGAUCUUGGCUCACUGCAGCCUCUGCCUCCUGGGUUCAAGUGAUUCUCCUGCCUCAGCCUCCUGAGUAGCUGGGAUUACAGGCACCUGCCACCAAGCCCAGCUAAUUUUUGUUUUUUGUAUUUUUAGUAGAGACAGGGUUUCACCAUGUUGGGCAGGGAAUGGUCUCGAGCUCCUGACCUCAUAAUCCACCUGCCUCAGCCUCCCAAAGUGCUGGGAUUAUAGGCGUGAGCCACCACACCUGGCCAUCGUUGAUUAUUUUUUAAAUGUUUGGUAGAAUUUACCAGUGAAGCCAUUUGGGCCUAGGCUUUUUUUUGUGGGUAGUUUUUCUUUCUUUCUUUCUUCUUAUUAAUUCAAUCUCUUUAUUAUAAGUCUAUUCAGACUUUCUAUUCCUUCUCAAGUCAGUUUCAGUAGUUUAUGUCAUUCUAGGAAUUUGUCCAUUUUAUGUAAGUUAUCUAUUUUGUUGGCAUUUAGCUAUUCAUAGUAUUCUUUUUUGAUUCUCUUUAUUUCUGUAAGGUCAGUAUUAAUGUACCUGUCUCAUAAUACUGUUUUUUUCCAGUGUGUUCAAAUCAGGCCAAAUAAUUCUGAUACACAAUAUUCGAUUUAUUUGUCUCUGUGGUCUCUUGUAAUAUAUAGAUUUCCUUCCAUCUCAUUUUUUCUUGAUAUAUAUUUAUUGAAGAAAUGAAAUUACUUGUAUAUUUCUCACAUUCUAUAUUUUUCUGAUUGUAUUCUUGGAAGUCAUUAACAUGUUCUUCUAUCCCCUAGCUAGUUGAUAGGUAGUUCUUUAUUAUGAUUUAGGUUUGAUUUUUUUAUGGCAAACUAUUUCUUUUUUUUCCACCAGUUGUCAAAUGAUCCUUUACUGAAAUAUUUUCCUUUGUGCUUCUUAACUAGCUGGGCAUUCCACAGCACCACUGUUGAUGUCAUCUAUGAUUUCAUGAGGGUGGUGGCUGUCAACAUUACAACCCAAAGACUGGGCAGUCCCCAGGAUCUCUUUAAUGUUUCCAGAGAGUUCUCUGGAUCUCUCCAGAUUGGUGCCACAUCUGUUGAGCAAUGUUGAUGAUCUCAUCAAAAGUGAUAUUCCCACUGUGUUUAAUGUUUUUCUGUUUAUUUCUGUCUUGAUGGUUCCUCGAGGGCUUUGAUGAUCAGGGCAGAGGCAGAAGGCACCACCUCAAUCUGGGCCUGUCUGUUCUGAAUGGUCAGUUUUCACUGUAAUCCUCAGGCCCUUCCAGUCACCCGUUGUCUUGGCAAUGUCGUCACCAACCUUUUUUGGAGACAGACCCAGGGGGCCAAUCUGGGGGCCAGCGCAGACGUGGCACCAACUUCACCCCCAGUGCACCUCAGGUAUACGACUUUGAUCUCUUUGGGGUUGAACUUUGGCAGCAUGGUGGAGGCGGCUGGUGUCAGAUGAACCCGGAUUCGGGACUACCAAAGAAAGUUGCACCUUGGCCUCCUCCGAGCUCAGAUCCGAAAGCAGCAAAACUAUUUAUACAUCGAUUAUCAGGCACAUAGUUUCCAAUUUUAUCUCUUUUCGUGAAGUUGGCAGUCAUUGAUGACCACUGCCUAGGUUCAUUAUUACAAUUGAAAUAGUUCAAUAGAAGGCAGAGUAUGGGCAUCAAUCAGUCCAGACUAUAAGAACUUUUGGGAGGUGACUUUUGAUGAUUAUGAGUACUACAUUCUAUACUAUUCUUAGAACCUUGGCAUCAGGGCUGGGCGCAGUGGCUCAGGCCUGUAAUCCCAGCACUUUGGGAGGCCCAGGCAGGCGGAUCACCUGAGGUCAGGAGUUUGAGACCAGCAUUACCAAUAUGGUGAAAUCCUGUCUCUACUAAAAAUACAAAAAUUAGACAGGCAUGGUGGCUUGUGCCUGUAGUCCCAGCUACUCAGGAGGCUGAGACAGGAGAAUUGCGUGGAUCCGGGAGGUGGAGGUAUCGUGCCACUGCACACCAGCCUGGGCAACAGAGCGAGACUCCAUCUCAAAAAUAAAUAAAUAAAUAACCUCGGAGUCAGGAGAUGGGAUCUACUCCCAACUCUGCCACCAACUAGCUGAGCAUCCUCUUUGGCACCUGUUUUCUUAUCUGUAGAAUGGGGGAAUAAACUAAUACAAUGUCUAGGACUUUUGGCUAUUCUAACAUUCUCUGACUAAACAAGUAGAGGACUUAAUCUUUCCCAAAGAUGAUUUGGGUGAGUUAAAAAGGAACUGCUGACCUUGUGUUAUUAUUCCCAUUUCAUACCAAAAAUGUUUAUUUCAAAGCCAACAUUUAUCAGUCAUUAAAUCCAGUAAAGUAUAUAACAGAGUCCAUUAAAAGUAUUAUGAGGCAAGGUAUGGUGGCUCACUUCUGUAACCCCAGCACUUUGGGAGACCGAGGCGGGCAGAUUGCUUGAGUCCAGGAGUUCACGACCAGCCUGGCCCACAUGGCAAGACCCCAUCUCUACAAAAAAUACAAAAUUUAGCCGGGCACAAUGGUGCAUGCCUGUAGUCCCAGCUACUUGGUGGGGCUGAGCUGGGAGGAUCGCUUGAGCCCAGGAGGUCAAGGCUGCAGUGAGCCAUGAGUGUGCCACUCCACUCUAGCCUGGAUGACAUAGUGAGACCCUGUCUCAAAACAAACAAACAAAAAAAGUGAAAAGUAUCAGGAGAGCAGGAAGCCAAGGCCAAAAGCGUUGUUUUCUGGAUUCUAGUUCUGGCUCUGCAGCUAAUCAACAUGCACUCUCAGUGUCCUGUCCAUAGGGUAAAAGAUUGCAUGAGUAGCUCUAAAGGCCUGUAAGCUUUAUGAUUUUAUGCCUAUUCUUGAUUUUUCUCACAGUUUUGAGGAUGCUAUUUUUGUUAAUAUCUUUUUUUUUAUACUUUUAAGUUUUAGGAUACAUGUGCACAAUGUGCAGGUUUGUUACAUAUGUAUACAUGUGCCAUGUUGGUGUGCUGCACCCAUUAACUCGUUAUUUAACAUUAGGUAUAUCUCCUAAUGCUAUCCCUCCCCCCUCCCCCACCCUAUUUUUGUUAAUAUCUUUAGCGCUACUUGUUUUUAUCUGCAUUCUGAUUAUGCUUUACUCAGCAACUAACUGGCAUAGGCCUGCCCCAGGUGUCAGUUCGUAUAGCAAAUUCAGCUUGAGCAUAAAGAACUUUCUGGAAGCAAAGACACCAAAAUAUUAGCAAUUUAUUAUUUCUAGGUGGUAAGAUUAUUGGCGUGCACCACCACGCCCAACUAAGGCAUAUUUUUAUAAUAUUUUAAAAGUUAUUCUUAAGGCAUUUGAUAGCAUAUUUUUGAUUGCAUGCCCCAGCAAAGAGGAAUCACUAAACUUUAGGUCAGUAGAUUUCUUUCUCUUCCUAUAAUUCAGUUUGGCAGCAUCUUCCAUUCUAAGUUAACCUAAAUACUUUAGUAAUAAAGACUUACAUGUAUCUAAUUAGAUAGUCAGCUUUACUUAAUCUUCUUAAUCAUCUAGAUUAGAUGUUAAGUGAAAAAAUAUUUUGUGCCUACAGAAAUUAAGAUUCGGAAAGAACAGUAGCACAUACAUGCUAUCAACAUCUGUGUCAUAACUCAUAUGGAAUCUGGAUUUGCGCUACUUGGGGAACAGGUAGUGUCUGCUAGAGAAGUGGUGUGACAGAAACAUGGGCAAAGGCAGGGUGUGUCUUUUGUAAAUGAUGAAAACAGAAGAUUAAAAACAAGUUUGCUAAAUCAUGUUCAUAACCACUCCCUGGAGAGCAAUUACUCUGAUUACUCGACUUACCUGGUAAGUACCACCCACUGUAGGAGAAAAUACAGAUGUUUGGUUCACUGUUAUGGGUUUCCCCAUGUGCAAAGGUGUUAUGCUGCUGCUAUGCUCGUCUUUAAACACUGUAGUAGCAGUUACUGAAGAAUGGUAGAGUAAGGGGUGCCCUCACAGCUGUCAACUCACUGUGUGAUCCAGACGAGUAACGUAGCCUGGUCGCAAGCUCCAAGGUUACUUAUCUUUAGUGGAGGGGAUAGUUCUAGUUUCCAGUGUUAUCACGACUAGUAAAAUUGAUAUUAUAAAAUCCACUUCUCAGUAAGGAAGGCAGUUUGAAAGCGUUCUUGUUGUGAGAAGCAUGACAAAUACAGGCAGUUCUAUGGACAGUGUUUAUGUAAAACAAAUUAUUGAAUAGCCAUUUGAACAUUAACUGUUGCCCAGUGUGUUAUAAUGUGUACCUGCUCAGGCAUUUUGAAGACUCUUCUUACACCUAGUGAGGACCAAGGGCAAAUAGCAAAAAGUAACCUGACAUAGAGUUUUAGUUUGGAGAUUUUCUUUUGAAUUGCCCUCAGGGAGAUUUCUCAAGCAACACUGGUCCAUGCCAAUUUGCAAAUGGACUCUUGUGCCAGUGGCUCAAUCAACCCAUCCAAAUGCAGAGAACCAUUUGGAGGCAUUCAAAACCAAAUGAGGGGCAAUUUUCUUUCAUUUAUAUGCUGUCUGUUAACCUCUCUUUCACCAAAAAUUAACCUGAUUCUGGGUAUGCAUACCUGAAAAAACACAAUUUUUACACUCAAGGAAGUUUCAUUUUUUCAUAGGAAAAAAUCAACUAUUACUAAACUAUACAGUUACUACAGUGAUGGAGAUGUGUGCAGGCUGCUGUAGGAACAUAAAAGGGAGCGCCUAACAGGUGUGGGUGAGUCAAAGAGAGCUGGGGAGGAAUGAAGGCAACAUUCUUGAGCUAAACCAAAUAAACAAAACAUUGCAACUCACAAUUAUGACCUAUUUCAAACUCUUAGAACUACAGUAAUGAUUUAGACUAGUUCUCAUUUGGACAGGGUUUAUUUACUCUUACGGUUUCAAGCACCCCUUAAUCUUUCCAUUUUAACAAGGGUAUAUGGAGCUUCACAGAUAAUAUCUCCAAAAAUGGGCAUAUUUUGACUUGUAGACCAUCACCUGCACACACACUUCAAGGUCACUUUCAUACAGCAAAGUGAGGAAAGAGUUUAUUAGCUAGAUGAGAAUGUGUAAAUGAGGCCGGGUGUGGUGGCUCACGCCUGUAAUCCCAGCACUUCGGGAGGCUGAGAUGGGUGGAUCUCCUUUGGUCAGGAGUUAGAGACCAGCCGGGCCAACAUGGUGAAACCCUGUCUCUACUAAAAAUACAAAAAUUAGCUGGCAUGGUGGCGGGCGCCUGUAGUCCCAGCUACUCAGGAGGCUGAGGCAGGACAAUCCCUUGAACCCAGGAGGUGGAGGUUGCAGUGAGCCAAGAUCACGCCACUGCACUUCAGACUGGUGACAGAGCAAGACUGUCUCAAAAAAACAAUGUGUAAAUGAAACUGCCCUACUAUUUCUGCUUUAGUAAAAACAACAGAUUCUGGUCAGUAUUUGUUCACUUAUAUUGGGCAUAAGAUAAUUCCUGCUGUUUGUUGCAGAUCUUGGCAUACUGCCUGAUUGUCCUGCAUGGGAAUCUUGGACUGCUACUACAGCAAUUUCAUGACUGUGUUUCUUCUAUUUUUGUUUUUACCACGUUAGUUAUAUCAUGCAGUACUUGAAACGAAGGUGGAGUCUGUCACUCUGUCAGCCUGCAGUUUAAAAAGUUAGAUGAUGCAUUAAAAAAUCAACAAAUUUUGCCAGGAAGGCAGUGUGUGCCUGUGGUCCUAACUUCUCGGAAGACUGAGUCAGGAGGAUUGCUUGAGCCUAGCAGUUUGAAUCCAGUCUGGGCAACAUAGUGAGACCCUUUGUCUUAAAAAAAAUCAACACAUUUUAAAAGUAUUUCAAGAUUUGUAUUUGCCAUAUUUCCAAGCUAGUAUUAUUUAUUUAGAGUUUCCUAUUGCGGGUGAAAUUCUCUUGUCUUUUGCUGUUUGCAGUAACUUGAGUCUUUUUUCAUCUCUUCAGAUAAUCUACUUAUAUUCAUGCCAAGUUUUCUAGUUUUCCUAUUGCUUCCUCUAAUUUUCAAAUAGAGUAUAUACAAUAUUGAGCAUAGUUUCUCAUUAGUCUGUUCACAGUCACUAAACUAAUCCUCAAAUGUAUUUGAUUCUAUCACUUUCCAAAAUUUGCCUUUGCUGGUUCAUAAUAUAGUUACCUAACUUCCCCAGCUCUGCCCUCGCUCAUGAACUGUAUUUCUCUACAUUACCCCCACACUGCAUUGGCAUUCUGAGUCAUCGGGGAUUAGGUAUCCUUCCUGCUAUUAACUACAUAAUAUUUAAACUUCCCCACUUGCCCAUCUCCUUUAUUUCGUAUUCAAACACCACAUGAAUUAAACUAACGUUGGUUGCUUUUAACCUGUAAUUCCUGACUGCAACAGGUAGUUAGUUGCCACCUCUUGAAAUGAACAGAUUUGACUAGAAGCUGACACUUCUUACUCCCGCUGAACUUAGUAUUUUACAUUUAUAUAAAUUCAAAAAGCAAAAUCAUACCUUUCUUAUCAAUGGGCCCUCUUUGUCCAUUGAUAACAUAAUAUUGCAAUAUAAACAAAAAGUAUUUGUACCAUACCUCAGAAAACAAAUUAGAUUACUAUUAGUGCAAAACAGGGGAAAAGUAGAAAAAUGUUAUUGUAAAGAGACUAUCACCCACUUCAAGGGAUUUAUCAGGUAACUGCCUGUGUAAGUUACAAAGACAAUGCUAAUCUAUAACUAGUGUAUACCUAGAUGAGCCGCCAGGACAUUUGUCUAAUGGCAGAUGGGGUAAUUGGACUCCACAUCUUCAACUUAGGCACAUGGAAAACAGCAUCCCUAAAAGUUGCCUGGGGAUGACCAGUACUGAGCCAACCAGCUUAGUGGAACUGUUACGAGAGAGAAACUUCAGAGCCAAGGAAUUUCUUGGCAGAGCCUCACAUUCUGCCUUAGAAUCAUGAAAAGUUAGAUCUAGAAGGUAACAGAGAUCAUUUAAUCCACUGCCCUUAUUUUACGGUGAAAAACUGAAGGCCAGAGAAGUUAAGGAGUUUGCCUAAGGUCUCACACUCGUAGUUAGUGACAGAUUCAGAGCUAGAACUAGAUCAUCCUGACUGCAUUUCAGUAGUCUUAGAGCUGGCCGACAAAUCUGACAACUCACAUUGAACCCAUGUUCCAAAAGGUAUUUUAUAUUGAGCUUAUGAACACCGCUUUUUAAAUUUAUGUUAUUUAUUUAUUUAUUUAUUUAUUAUAUUUUAAGAUCUGGGAUACAUGUGCAGAACAUGCAGGUUUGUUACAUAGGUAUACAUGUGCCAUGGUGGCUUGCUGCACCCAUCAAUCUGCCAUCCUGUUUUAAGCCCCACAUUCAUUAGGUAUUUGUCCUAAUGCUCUCCCUCCUGUUGCCCCCCAUCCCUUGACAGGCCCCCGUGUGUGAUGUUCCCCUCUCUGCGUCCAUGUGUUCUCAUUGUUCACCUCCCACUUUUGAGUGAGAACAUGCGGUGUUUGGUUUUCUGUAUGAACACCCCUUUCACAGAAAAUUAGGCAAACAGGUUGGAAUAUUUAGAAUAGAAAACAUUUAUUAUAAAGUCACAAGAAAUACCUGUGUAGACUUGCUGACUGGAAGUAUUUGGCUUCCGUAAGACAAAGAAGAGUCUUAGUCAUCUGGUUAAAGUUAAAAACGAUUGUGUCACCAGGCUGAAAGCAGACAUGCUGUGGAAGCAGUAGGCUGAAAUUAGAACUGAAUACAAGAGUUUAGAGAAAAUUGAAUUUGGAGCUAUCUCACAACACUGGGAGUUAUUCUGUUUUUGUUUGCUUUUAAUAGGCACACAAAAAAGAAUAGUGACUACAAUGAACUCCUUGUGUAGCCCCACCAGACCCCAUUUUCUUCCCUCCCCACUGAAUUUGGUGCUUAUAUUUCCAUACCUAUUCAUGUGGUUUUCCUAUAGGUAAAUGUAUCCCUAAGUGAUGUUUAGCAUUAUUUUCAUAUUUUAAGCUACAUAAAUGCUAUCAUAUUGUAUAUAUGUGUCUACAACUUGCAUUUUUUUUUUUGCUUAAUACUACAUUUUUGAGAUUUAUCCUAUUGAUAAAUAGGAUUUCUCUAACUAAUUUAUUUUAUUUUUUGGAGAUGAGGUCCCGCUAUGUUACCCAGGCUGGAAUGCAGUGGCAGUUCACAGGCACAAUCAUAGCACAAUGUGGCCUUGAACUCCUGGACACAAGUGACCUCUUGCCUCAGGCUCCUGAGUAGCUGGGGACUACAGGCCCCAGCCACUGCACCAGGCCAGCUAAUUCAUUUUAACUGCUUUAUGGUGUUCCAUUGUAUGAAUGUUUCAACAUUUAGCUAAUCUCCUAUUGAUUGACAUCUAGUGAGUUUCCAGUUUUUUGAUUUGCUUUGUUUCAUUUGCUGUUUUAUUUUAAUGUUGCUACUGUAAACAUGUUUAUAAAACUGGUGCAUGUGUGAAAGAGUUUGUCUAGUAACAUUUACAAGGUCUCAGUGUGUGUGUGCAAAUCUUGAAUUUAGCAAGAAGAUCUCAAAAUAGCAGGUUAUGAGACUAACACAAGGACUGUGUAUUUUUAGAGUUUUAAUUUUUUGUGAAUCUGAAGAGUGUAAAAUACUGUUGCCUUCUGGUUUUAAUUUCUCUGAUUCCUUGUGGGGCUGAGUACCUUUCCAUGUGUUCACAGACAAUUUGGAUCUCCUCUUCUCCCUAGCUCACUUUUCAGAUGAGCUGCUGAACUUUUUAUUGUUCAUUCUGAAAAAUGUUCUAUAGUCAUUAUGUAAAUCCUUAUUAUAUGCAUUGCCAAUAUCUUCUCCUAAUCUGGAGCUUGACUUUUCACUUUUAUAAUGAUAUAUUUUCAUGAACAUAUUUAUCAAUCUUUUAUUUUUUAUUUAUACUUAUUAUUUCUUUAAAACAUCAUUUUUUCACUCUAAGGUCAUAAGAUAUUCCCCAAUAUUUUUCUUUAGUUUUUUUAAAGUUUUAUUUUUUUACAAUCUUCAAGUCUUUUAUGUGCCAGGAAUUAACUUGUGUGUAGUGUGAGGUCAGGAGCUAGUUUUAUUUUUUUCUACAUCGACAAGCAAUUGUUUAGAAACCAUUAAUUGAAUAUUACAUUUCUUCCCCACAGUUGGGUAAUGGCACUUUCAUCAUAUAUCCUGGACUCUCUAUCAGUCAGGUUAUUAUUCCUGUGCCUUAUUAUACCAUAUUAACUACUAUAUCUUUAUGGUAAGUCUCAAUAUCUGGAAAGCCCCUAUUUGUCAAGUGGAUGCAAUGGGAGCUAGAUGGAUUUGCACUAUCCUUCUUGAAUACCAUCCAAGAGGUAUGAAUACUGUGGGGAAGGAAACCCAGAAGGAUGUUAUCUUAGCCCUUUUGUGUUGCUAUAAAGGAAUACUUGAGGCUGUGUAAUUUAUAAAGAAAAGAGGAUUAUUUGGCUCACAGUUCUGCAGGCCUUAUAAGAAGCAUGAUCCAGCCUGACCAACAUGGUGAAACCCUGUCUCUACUAAAAAUACAAAAAUUAGCCGGGCAUGGUGGUGCGCCUGUAGUCCCAGCUACUCAGGAGGCUGUGGCAAGAGAACUGCUUGAACCUGGGAGGUGGAAUUUGCUGAACCAAAAUCAUGCCACUGCACUCCAGCCUGGGUGACAGAAUCUCAGGGAAAAAAAAAAAAAAAAGCAUGAUGCCAGCAUCUGCUUCUGGCAAGGGCUUCUGGCUGUUUCCACCAGUGGCAGAAGGGUAAGGGGAACUGGCAGAUUCAGAGAUCAUAUGGUGAGAGGGGUGGCAAGAAGUGGGAGGAGGUUCCAGGCUGUUUUUAGUGACCAGCUUUCCUGGGAACUAAUAGAGUGAGAACUCAGUACCACAAGGACAGCACCAAGCCAUUCAUGAGGCACCUGCCCCAUGACUGAGCAAAACACCUUCCAUUAGGCCCCACCUCUAACAUGGGGGACCACAUUUUAACAUGAGGUUUAGGGGGACAUGAAAACUAUAUCGGAGACUAUGGGGUCAGUCAUUGUUGCAGUAGCUGAGUGGGGAAAUGGGAAUCCUGGAACUGGAGAUCAGUGUCCCACAUCAAGGAACUGUGCUCUGUGGAGACCUGUGGGCCCUCUAAGAACUCACAUGUGUGUCUCCUGAGAGACAUCCAGGCCUUGGAUACCUGACCACAAAGGGCCUCUUGUGGUCCUUCAGUGUUAUUAAGUAGAACAACAGCAACCAGCAGAGGACUCCAGUUGCUUCCAGUGAAGUAAAAAGUCACUUUCUCUGAAAGUGGAGUUAAGAACACAAUUCUCCUUACAAUGGCUGGACGUGCUGGCUCAUGCUUGUAAUCCUAGCACUUUGGGAAACUGAGAUGGGCAGAUAACUUGCGGCCAGGAGUUCGAGACCAGCCUGGCCAACAUGGUGAAACCUUGUCUCUACUAAAAUACAAAAAUUAGCAGGGUGUGGUGGCACAUGCCUGUGGUCCCAGCUACUUGGGGGACUGAGGCAUGAGAAUCCCUUGAACCUGGCAGGUGGAGGUUGCAGUGAGCUGAGAUCACACCACACACUUCAGCCUGGGCAACAGAGCGAGACUCCAUGACAGAAAGAGAGAGAGAGAGAGAAAGAAAGAAAGAAAAUUCUUCUUACAAUAACAGCAAAAAGAAUAAAACAGGAAUAGAUUUAGCAAAAGAAGUACAAGACUUGUACACUGAAAACUGUUGAAAGAAGUUAAAGAAGACCAAACAAAAUCCCAGCCAGCUUCUUUGUACAAAUUGACAAACUAAUCCUACAAUUAAUAUGGAAAUGCAAGAGACCAAGAAAAGCCAAACUAUUUUGGAAAAAAAAAAUAACAAAGUUCCUGGAGGACUCACACUUUCUAAUUUCAAAGCUACAAUAAUCAAAACUUACUACAAACCCAAAAUAAUCAAAACGGCAUGGUAUUGGCCUACAUAUAGACAUAUUGACCAAUGGAAUAGAAUUAAGAGUUUAUAAAUAAACCCAUACAUCUGUGUUGAAUUGAUUUUCAACCAGGGUGCCAAUUCGGUGAGAAACAAACAUCCUUUCAACAAAUGGCUCUAGGACAACUGGAUAGCUACAUGCAAAAGAAUGAAGUUAGACCCCUUGCCUCACACCAUAUGUAGAAAUCUACAUGAAACUAAAACUGCUUUAAAAAAUAGUCUAUUUAUUUAGAAACAGGGUCUUGCUCUGUCACCCAGGCUGGAGUACUCUGACACAACAAUAGCUCACUGCAGCUUCAAACUCCUGGGCUCAAGUGAUGCUCCUGCCUCAGCCUCCUGAUAGCUAGGAUUACAGACAUAUGCCACCAUGCCCAGCUAUUAUUUAAUUUUUUGUACAGACCAAGACUGGGUCUUGCCAUGUUGCCCAGGCUGGUCUCAAACUGCUGGGCUCAAGUGAUCCUCCCACCUCGGCCUCACAGCACACUGCUGCAAAUUCCAUGAGAUGGGUGAAAAACUAUGAGUUCCCAACAUGUGAGAAGGGGGAAACCUGCCUCUGAACACACAUCUCCACUGGGGAACCUCAAAACCCAGAUUAUGGAAGAAGGAUUUAACCUUGCCUAGAGCUGAAAUGGAUUUAGUAUAAAAUAUAAAAGUAGAAAUAGUAGCAGGAAGAGCCUUGUAGGCGCUCCCAUUCUCCAGCUUGGGCCAGGGAAGCCAUCCCUGACUGUAUCUCACCGAGGCCAUUGAGGAAGACAGUUGGCAGAAUUUGGGCAGGGUCGCAGGGUGAAAUAAGCUUCCAACUGAACUGUGUAAUAAUUUUGACUGGGCGCAAACUCUGUCGAGCAGAAAUCGGGGGUGAAAGUGAACUGCUGCAGAAAGGAGCAUAGGAGCCACAGCUGACAGUGUGGGCAGACAGGGAGGGGCAAGGCCUGAAAGCCAUGCUUGCUUUCUUAGUGGGGAAACUUAUACCCUGGGGCUAGGUCUGAGUCCUGCACACCAGCUGCCUGGAGAUAAACUGUGCUGUUAGCGGGGCACAGUGGGAGUGAAACUGGCCUUGCCAACUGUGUGGUAGCUGGGUGAGCCCUGUGGCUACUUACUUUCCCCCACUUCCCUGGUGACAGAGGCGCCAUAAUCCACACUGGAACAUAACCCCAUUUGCCUGAGAAUCAGCCCCCUAUCCCCCACAGUGGCUGUGGCAAAAAGAGUCUGAGCUCAGACCUGCCUAAUCCUGCCCCAACCUGAUGGUAUUUCCCUACCCAUCCCAGUGCCCAGUCACAAAAGACAAACUCUUGGGAGCUUUAUGGCCCUACUUAUCACAUGAGAAACCUGAACACUUAUCCUGACCAACUUAGGGCAAGCUUAUAUCCCCCUUCUACUAUCACAGCUGGUGCUCUCCUGAACAUACCACCUCCUGGCUGGAGGCCAACCAACUCAAGAUAUGACAGCAACUCAUGACAAAAUAACACUGCUCCAAGGAAGGAAAAAACAGCUAACUCCACUAUCUGCAACAUCCUGGCUAAACAGAGGUCCUGUCCAUGUGGCAACAUCACUGCUAUCAUAACCAGCAUUUGAGAAAGCCAGCACACUAAACAUCUACAACCAAGGCUUCUCAUAGAGUCUAUGUCACUACCCUGCCACCUCCCCCAGAGGAGGUGCUGGUAUCCAUAGCUGGGAGACCUGAAGAUGGAUUACAUCACAACACUCUUUGCAGACACUCCCCAGCAUGAUCCUGGAGCUUGGAAGCCCCACUGGAUGCCUAGACCCAGAAAAGCAAUAACAAUCACCACAGUCUGGCUCUCAGAAAGCCCCAUCCCUAAGGAAAGGGGGAGUGCACCACAUCACGGGAUCACCCUGUGAGACAAAAGAAUCUGAACAGCAGCCCUUGAGUUCCAGAUUUUUCCACUAAAAUAGUCUACCCAAUAAGAAGAAAUCAAAAACAUAAUUCAGGUAAUAUGACAAAACAAGGUUCUAUAACACCCACAAAAGACCACACUAGCUUCCUAGCAAUGGAUCCAAACCCAGAAGGAAUCUCUGAAUUGCCACAUAAAGAAGUCAGAAGGUUGAUUAUUAAGCUACUGAAGGAGAUACUAGAGAAAGGUGAAAACCAACUUAAAGAAAUGUAAAAAUCAAGCCAGGUGCGGUGGCUCACGCUUGUAAUCCGAGCACUUCGGGAAGCCAAGGCAGGUCACUUGAGGCCAGGAGUUUGAGACCAGCCUGGCCAACAUGGCAAAACCCUGUCUGUACUAAAACAAAAACAAAAAUUAGCCUGGCUUGGUGGUACAUCCCUUUGGUCCCAGCUACUCAGGAUGCUGAGGUGGAAGGAUCACUUGAACAUAGGAGGUAGAGGUUGCAGUGAGCCAAGAUCAUGCAACUGCCCACCAACCUGGGUGACAAGCAAGACCCUCUCUCAAAACAAAACAAAAAGUUAAAAAAAAAUACAGGACAUGGAUGAAAAAUUCCCCAGAGGUAUAGAUAUCAUAAAGAAAAAACAAUUGGGCCGGGCGUGGUGGCUCAUGCCUGUAAUCCCAGCAUUUUGGGAGGCCAAGGCGGGCAGAUCACCUGAGGUCAGGAGUUCGUGACCAGCCUGACCAAAAUGGAGAAAUGCUGUCUCUACUAAAAAUACAAAAUUAGCUGGGCGUGGUGGUGCAUGCCUGUAAUCCCAGCUACUUGGGAGGCUGAGGCAGGAGAAUCGCUUGAACCCAGGAGGCAGAGGUUGUGGUGAGCCAAGAUCAUGCCAUUGCACUCCAGCCUGGGCAACAAAAGUGAAACUCUUGUCUCAAAAAAAAGAAAAAAAGAAACAAUCACAACUUCUGGAAAUGAAAGACACACUUAGAGACAUACAAAAUGCACUGGAAAGUGUCAACAAUAGACUAGAACAAGUAGAAGAAAAAACUUCAGAGCUUGACAAGGCUUUUGAAUUAACCCAAUCAGACAAAGACAAAGAAAAAGGAAUUUUACAAAAUGAAGAAAGCCACCAAGAAAUUGGGGAUUAUGUUAAAUAGACAAAACUAAAAAUAAUUGGUAUUCCUGAGGAAGAAGAGAAAUCUAAAAGUUUGGAAAACUUAUUUGAGGGAAUAAUCAAGGAAAACUUCUCUGGCCUUGCUAGAGAUCUAAACAUCCAAAUAGAAGAAGCUCAAAGAACACCUGGGAAAAUCAUUGCAAAAAGAUCACCUAGGCACACAGUCAUCAGGUUAUCUAAAGCCAAAACAAAGGAAAGAAUCUUGAGAGCUGCAAGGCAAAAGCCUCAGACAACCUAUAAAGGAAAACCUAUCAGAUUAACAGCAGAUUUCUCAGCAGAAACUCUACAAGCCAGAAGUGAUUGAGGUCCUAUCUUUAGCAUCUUCAGACAAAAUAAUUGCUAGACAAGAAUUCUGUAUCCAGCAAAACUAACCUUCAUAUAUGAAAAAGAGAGAAAUUAUUUUUCAGACAAACAAAUGCUGAGAGAAUUUGUCACUACUAAGCCAGCACUACAAGAAAUGCUAAAAGGAUUUCUAAAUCUUGAAACAAAACUUCAAAAUAUACCAAAAUAGAAACUCCUUAAAGCAUACAUUUCACAGGGCCUAUAAAACAAUGAAAAACAAACAAGGUAUUCAGGCAACAACUAGCAUGAAGAAUAAAAUAGUACCUCACAUCUCAAUAAUAAAAUGAAUAUAAAUGGCCUAAAUGCUCCUCUUAAAAGAUGCAGAAUGGGCUGGGUGUGGUGGCUCACACCUGUAAUCCCAGCACUUUGGGAGGCUAAGGCAGGCAGAUCACGAGGUCAGGAGAUCAAGACCAUCCUGGCUAACACAGUGAAACCCCGUCUCUACUAAAAAUACAAAAAAAUAGGCCAGGCAUGGCAGCAGGCACCUGUAGUCCCAGCUAACCAGGAGGCUGAGGAAGGAGAAUGGUGUGAACCCAGGAGGCGGAGCUUGCAGUGAGCCGAGAUCGUGCCUCUGCACUCCAGCCUGGGCGACAGAGCGAGACUCCGUCUCAAAAAAAAAAAAAAAAAAAAAAAAUUGCAGAAUGGCAGAAUGGAUAAAAAUCUACCAACCACAUAUCUUCUGUCUUCAAGAGACUGGCCUAAUGCAUAAGGAUUCACAUAAACUUAAUGUAAAGGAGUGGGAAAAGAUAUUCCUUGCAAAUGGAAACCAAAAGUGAGGAAGAGUAGCUAUUCUUAUAUCAGACAAAACAGACUUUAAAGCAACAAGUUAAAAAAGACAAAGAGGGACAUUAUAUAAUAAUAAAAGGAUCAUUUCAACAAGAAAAUAUCACAAUCCUAAAUAUAUAUGCACCUAACACUGGAGGUCCCAAAUUUAUAAAACAAUUAUUACUAGACCUAAGAAAUGAGAUAGAUGGCAACACAAUAAUAGUCAGGGACAGCCGGGUGCAAUGGCUCACAACUGUAAUCCCAGCACUUUGGGAGGCCAAAGCAGGUGGAUCACCUGAGGUCAGGAGUUUGAGACCAGCCUGACCAACAUGGCAAAACCCUGUCUCUACUAAAAAUACAAAAAGUAGCUGGGUGUGGUAGCACAUGCCUGUAUUCCCAGCUACUCAGGAGGCUGAGGUAGGAGAAUCGCUUGAACCCAGGAGGCAGAGGUUGCAGUGAGCUGAGAUUGUGCCACUGCCCUCCAACAUGGGAGACAGAGCGAGACUCCAUUUCAAAAAAAUAAAAGAAUAGUAGUUGGGGACUUCAAUACUCCAGUGACAGCACUAGACAAGUCAUCAAGCCAAAAAGUAAACAAAGAAACAAUGGAGCUGGACAUGGUGGCUCACACCUGUAAUCUCAGCACUUUGGGAAGCCAAAGUGGGCAGAUCACCUGAGGUCAGGAGUUUGAGACCAGCCUAGCCAACGUGGUGAAACCCCGUCCCUACUAAAAAUACAAAAAUUUGCUGGGUGUGGUGGCACAUACCUGUAAUCCCAGCUAAUCAGGAGGCUGAGGCAGGAAAAUCGCUUGGACCCCAGAGGUGGAGGUUGCAGUGAGCCAAGAUCAUGCCACUGCACUCCAGCCUGGGUGACAGAGUGAGACUCUGUGUCACAAAAGGAAGGAGGGAAGGAAGGAAGGAAGGAAGGAAGGAAGGAAGGAAAAGAAUUUAAACUAUACCAUAGAACAAAUGGUCUCAACAGAUAUUUACAGAACUUCUACCUAACAACUACAGAGUAUACAUUCUUUUUAGCAACACAUGGAACAUUCUCCAAGAUAAAACAUGGUGGGCCACAAAACAUGUCUCAGUAAAUUUAAGAAAACUGAAGUAAUAUCAAGUACUCUUUCAGACCAUACUGGAAAAAAACUGGAAAUUAACUCCAAAAAGAACCCUCAAAACUAUACAAAUACAGGGAAACUUAAUAAACUGCUCAUGAAUGAUCUUUGGGUCAGCAAUGAAAUCAAGAUGGAAAUUAAAGAAUUAUUUGAACUGAAUGAUAAUAGUGACAGAACUUAUCAAAACAUCUGGCAUAUAGCAAAAGUGGUUCUAAGAGGAAAGUUCAUAGCAUUAAAUGCCUAUAUCAAAAAGUCUGAAAAAGCACAAAUAGCCAAUCUAAGGUCACACGUCAAGUAACUAGAGAAAUAAGAGCAAACCAAACCCAAACCCAGCAGAGGGAAAAAAAAUUACAAGGAUCAGAGCAGAACUAAAUGAAAUUGCAAUACAAAAAUGUAUAAAAUAUAAAUGAAACAAAAAGCUAGUUCUUUCAAAAAAAAUGAUAGACUGUUAGUGAGAUAAACCAAAAAAAGAAGGGAGAAGAUCCAAAUAACUUCACUUAGAAAUGAAACGGGAGAUAUUACUACUGAUAGCACAGAAAUAAAAAAUGAUUUAAGACUACUGUGAACACCUUUACACACACAAACUAGAAAACCUAGAGGAGAUGGAUAAAUUUCUGGAUAUAUACAAGCCUCCUAGAUUAAAUCAGGAAGAAAUAGCAACUCUGAAUAGACCAAUAACAAGUAGUGAGAUUGAAACAGUAAUGAAAAAAAAAAUGCCAACAGCAAAAAAAAGGUCCAGGACUAGAUGGAUUCACAGAUGAAUUCUAUCAGGCAUUUGAAGAAGAAUUGGUACUGAUCGUAAUGAAAUUAUUCCAAAAGAUAAACUGGAAAUCCUCCUUAAAUAAUUCUAUGAAAGCCGGGUGCAAUGGCUCAUACCUAUAAUCCCAGCACUUUGGGAGGCUGAAGCAGGCAGAUCACUUGAGGUCAGGAGUUCAAGACCAGCCUGGCCAACGUGGUGAAACCCCAUCUCUACUAAAAAUUCAAAAAUUAGCUGGGCGUAGUGGCAGGCACCUGUAAUCCCAGCUACUCAUGAGGCUGAAGCAGGAGAAUUGCUUGAACCUGGGAGGCAGAGAUUGCAGUAAGCCAAGAUUGCACCACUGCACUCCAGCUUGGGCAACACGAGCAAAACUUCGUCAAAAAAAAAAAAAAAAAAAACUCUAUGAAGCCAGUAUCACUCUAAUACCCAAACCAGGAAAAGACAUAACAACAACAACAAAAAUGCAGACCAAUAUCCCUGAUGAACAUAGAUGGGAAAAUCCUCAACAAAAUACUGGCUAACCAAAACCAACAGCAUAUCGAAAAGAUAGCACAUCAUGAUAAAGUGGGUUUUAUACUAGGGAUGCAGGGAUGGUUUAACAUAUGCAAGUCAAUAAAUGUGAUACAUCACAUAAACAGAAUUAAAAGCAAAAAUCAUAUGAUCAUCUCAAUAGAUGCUGAAAAAGCAUUUGACAAAAUCCAGCAUCCCUUUAUGAUUAAAACCCUAAGCAAAAUCAGCAUAGAAGGGACAUACCUCAAGGUAAUAACCAUCUAUGACAAACCCUCAGGCAACAUUAUACUGAACAGGGAAAGGUUGAAAGCAUUCCCCCUGAGAACUGGAACAAGACAAGGAUGCCCAUUUUUAUCACUGCUAUUCAAUAUAGUACUGGAAAUCCUAGCCAGAGCAAUCAGACAAGAGAAAGAAAUAAAGGGCAUCCAAAUUGGUAAAGAGGAAGUCAAACCAUUGCUGUUUGCCGAUGAUAUGAUUGUAUAUCUAGAAAACCCUAAAGAUUCAUCCAAAAAGCUCCUAAACCUGAUAAAUGAAUUCAGUAAAGUUUCAGGAUAUAAAAUCAAUGUACACAAAUAAGUAGCACUGCUAUACACCAGCAGUGACCAACCUGAGAAUCAAAUCAAGAACUCAACCCUUUUAACAACAGCUGUAAAAAAUAAUAUAAAAUACGUAGAAAUAUACCUAACCAAGAAUGUGAAAGAUCUCUACAAGGAAAACUACAAAAUACUGCUGAAAUAAGUCAUAGAUGACACAAACAAAUGGGAACACAUCUCAUGCUCAUGGAUGGGUAGAAUCAAUAUUGUGAAAAUGACCAUACAGUCAAAAGCAAUCUACAAAUUCAGUGCAAUUCCUGUCAAAAUACCAUCAUUAUUUUUCACAGAACUAUAAAAAUAAAAUCCUAAAAUUAAUAUGGAACCAAAAAAGAGCCCACAUAGCCAAAGCGAGACUAAGUGAGAAGAACAAAUCUGGAGGCAUCACAUUACCUGACUUCAAACUAUACUACAAGGCUAUAGUUACCAAAACAGCAUGGUACUGGUAUAAAAAUAGGCGUGUACAUCAAUGCAACAGAAUAGAGUACCCAGAAAUAAAGCCAAAUAUUUAAAGCCAACUGAUCUUCGACAAAGCAAACAAAAACAUAAAGUGGAGAAGGACACCCUGUUCAACAAAGGCUGCACCCUAACCACAAAUGGUCAAAUGGUGCUGGGAUUGUUGGCAAGUCACAUGUAGAAGAAUGAAACUUAAUCCUCAUGUCUCACCCUAUACAAAAAUCAACUCAAAAUGGAUCAAAGACUUGAAUCUAAGACCUGAAACCAUAAAAAUUCUAGAAUAUAAUAUUGGAAAAACUCUUCUAGACAUUGGCUAAGGUAGAGUUAAUGACUAAGAACCCAAAAGCAAAUACAACAAAAACAAAAAUAAAUAGAUGAGACCGAAUUAAACUAAAAAGCUUCCGCAGAGAGAAAAAAAAAUCAGCAGACUUGGCUGGGCAUGGUGGCUCACGCCUAUAAUCUCAGCACUUUGGGAGGCCAAGGUGGGUGGAUCACCUAAGGUUAGGAGUUCGAGACCAGCCUGGCCAACAUGGCGAAACCCCAUCUCUACUAAAAAUACAAAAAUUAUCUGAGCAUGGUGGUGCAUGCCUGUAAUCCCAGCUACUUGAGACGCUGAGGCAGGAGAAUCACUUGAACCUGGGAGACAGAGGUUGCAGUUAGCCGAGAUCGCAUCACUGCACUCCAGCCUGGGCGACAGAGCGAGACCCUGUCUCAAAAAUAAAAUAAAAUAAAAUAAAAUAAGGCCAGGCAUGGUGGCUCAUGCCUGUAAUCCCAGCACUUUGGGAGGCCAAGGUGGGUGGAUCACAAGGUCAGGAGAUUGAGACCAUCCUGGCUAACAUGGUGAAACCCCAUCUCUACUAAAAAAUACAAAAAAUUAGCCGGGUGUGGUGGCAGGCGCCUGUAGUCCCAGCUACUCGGGAGGCUGAGGCAGGAGAAUGGCAUGAACCCUGGAGGCAGAGCUUGCAGUGAGCUGAGAUCACGCCACUGCACUCCAGCCUGAGCGAGAGUGCAAGACUCUGUCUCAAAAAAAAUAAACAUAAAAAUAAAAUAAAAUAAAAAUAAUCAGCAGAGUAAACAGAGAACCCCCAGAGUGGGAGAAAAUUUUCACAGACUAUUCAUCCAACAAAGGACUAAUACCCAGAAUCUACCAGGAACUCAAACAAAUCAGCAAAAAAAAAAAAUCCCAUCAAAAAGUGGGCUAAGGACAUGAAUACACAAUUCUCAAAAGAAGAUAUACAAAUGUCCAACAAACAUGAAAAAAAUGCUCAACAUCACUAAUUAUCAGGGAAAUGCAAAUCAAAACCACAAUGCAAUACCACCUUACUCCUGCAAGAAUGGCCAUAAUUUAAAUAUCAAAAUAUAAUAGAUGUUGAUGUGGAUGUGGUGAAAAAGGAACACUUUCACACUGCUGGUGGGAAUGUAGUACAAACACUAUGGAAAACAGUAUGGAGAAUCCUUUGAGAACUAAAAGUAGAAUUACCAUUUGAUGCAGCAGUCCCACUAAUGGGUAUCUACCCAAAGGAAAAGAAGUCAUUGUAUGAAACAGACUUACACACAUAUGUGCAUAGCAAUACAAUUUGCAAUUGCAAAAAUAAGGAACCAGCCUAACCCUGAUUUCCAGUGGAAAUCCUAGGAAGUUAUGAUGUUAGUUCUGGGCUUGUAAAAGAAAAACAACAGCAAACAAACAAACAAAAAAGAAAAACCUUGGAAGCAAGUAAUUUGAGAUGGUUUAUGUCAGUUUUUGUGAUGAAAACUAUUUUCUAAUGUUUAGAAAGAUGUUUCCACAAUUUUUUGUUUCUUAACAGAACUAAAUAUUUAGCUUUUCUGUAUCAUAUAGAUGACUCAGACAUUUUAUGAUUAGCUAUUACCCAGGUUGACAUAACAUGACUCUAAGUUAUUGAAAAAGAUUUUUUAAACAAUGUAAAGCUCAUUUAUAAACUUUUAUUUAUUCUCUUUUGCAAGUAAACCUUAUGGUAAAUAAUAAAAAACAUAAAAAAGUAAAUAAAGUUUUAUUUAUUCUUAGGAAGUAUGCUUGAGUAGCUCAUUAAACAAAGUUAGCUACUGAAACUGUCUUUGCAGGGCUGAGCAGUGGCUCACGCCUGUAAUCCCAGCUCUUUAGGAGGCCCAGGCAGGUGCAUUACCUGAGGUCAGGAGUUAGAGACCAGCCUGGCCAACAUGGUAAAACUCUUUCUCUACUAAAAAUAUAAAAAAUUAGCCAGGUGUGGUGGUGGGUGCCUGUAAUCCCAGCUACUUGGGAGGCUGAGGCAGGAGAACCACUUGAACCCAGGAGGUGGAGGUUGCAGUGAGCUGAGAUCACAUCAUUGCACUCCAGCCUGGGCAACAAGAGCAAGACUCCAUCUCAAAAAAAAAAAAAAAAGAAAAGAAAAGAAAAAAAGAAACUGCCUUCGCAAAAUUAUAACUGAGACAGUGAAAGAAAUCUAACUUAACUGACCAUCUUGCCUCUAGCAUAUAAGCUGUCUUUGUUCAUUCCAUCUUGCCUAGGGACUAGAUUGUCUUUGUAGGACUAACAUUUGACACAAGAUUAGAAAUUAUGAUUUAGGAGUCAUGCAGCUGGAGGCUAAAAGAUUAUGACCCUCCCUAAAUUUCUCUCAAGAUCAGUGCUUGAGAUAUUUUGCAGACCCUGCACUUGAUGGAUCAGCUGGCUCCACCCAGAUUGAUAAACUGGCUCAUCUGAUCUUGUAGCCCCUGCCCAUGAACUGACUCACUGCAAGAAGACAGCUUCAACUCCCUAUGAUUUCAUCUCUGACCUGACCAAUCAGCACUCCUGGCUCACUGGGUUCUCCCCACCCACUAGGUUGUCCUUAAAAAUUCUGCUCCCAAAAUGCUCGGGGAGACUGAUUUGAGUAAUAAAACUCUGGUUUCUGCACAGCUGGCUCUGUGUGAAUUACUCCUUCUCUAUUGCAAUUCCCCUGUCUUGAGAAAUCAGCUCUGUCUAGGCAGUGGGCAAGGUGAACCCAUUGGGUGCUUACACCAUCAUCUUCAGUUUUUUCUUUGUAAUCAUGUUUACAUUCCACAAAUGUUAGGAACUUAACACUUUAGCCAGAACUCUAAAGUUAAAUACACGGGUAUUUUGUUAAUCAGAGGACACGGUUGUUUUCAGUAAAUCAACAGUAUUAAACUAGUCUUAUUUACCAACAAUUUACACAAAUCAUUUGAACUAAAAGGCAUUUGAGUUAGCUUAUAUUUUUCUCAUAAAAUAUAUAAUUUAAGUGCUUACUUUUUCUUUAACCCAAUUAAUUAGAGUUUUCGUGUAUUUUGGUAAUGAAAUAUCACAUCCACAUGGCAUAUAUGAACAUAUAUACAUACAGACAUACAAACAAAAGCAGAGUCUGUAGCUUGAUAAACUUCUUCAUUUGUCAGGGGGUUUUUUUGUUUUGGUUUUGGUUUUGGUUUUCUUUUUCUUUUUUUUUUUUUUUGAGAUGGAGUCUUGCUCUGUUGCCCAGGCUAGAGUGCAGUGGUGUGAUCUAAGCUCACUGCAACACCCACUUCCUGGGUUCAAGCGAUUCUCCUGCCUCAGCCUCCCGAGUAGCUGGGAUUACAGGCGCCUGCCACUGUGCCUGGCUAAUUUUUGUAUUUUUAGUAGAGAUGGGGUUUUGCCAUGUUGGCCAGGGUGGUCUCAAACUCCUAACCUCAUGAUCCGCCCACCUUGGCCUCCCAAAGUGCUGGGAUUACAGGCGUGAGCCACCGCACCCAGAAACCAUUUGCCAGUUUUUAAAUAGUUUCUCUCCCCUCUUUAGACUAUGGAGCCCUAAACAACUGUUAGCAACAUAACCCUUAAUUUGCACUUCCAAAGACAUGACUCUUAAGUGAAAAUUUACAUCCCAAAGGCACAGCACUUAGAUCUAAGCACCAUUCUCUGCUGAGAUGAAGAAGGAUAUGGGUAAAGAUUCAGUCGAAGUGAGAUUGCCAGGAAAAGUAUCUUAAACAAAGGCAGGGAUUGUUAUGUAAACUUUAAACCAAUGUCUUCCCCAUCUUAAGAGUUUUGUGGGUUUUUUGUUUGUUUUUUUUUAGACAAGGUGUCAUUCUGUUACCUGGACUGGGGUGCAAUGGUGCAAUUUUGGCUCGCUGCAGUCUCCACUUCCCUAAGGCCACAAGAUUUGAAGUUAGGAUAAUACAUGUUACACUGUUAACUUUUAGCAAACUUUACUUUUGUUGAAAACCAUGUAAGUUUGGGAUUUUUAAUUAUCCUUUGCUAUUACUAAGACCUCUUUAGUCCAAAUCAACUUGGAAUUAGUAUAGAUGGUUCCUUCCUGGUUCUGUAAGUACUUUAAGGCUUGGCUGAGUGCAGAGCUCACACGUUUGAGCAGACUGAUUAUUAGGCAAUUUUCCUAACUCUAUUUCUACGAGAGUUUCCCUAUCAAUUACUGAAUACUCGUUGUGUCUUUUUCCCUCAAUCAGCCAGGAGAAACCAUCCAUCAUCCUGUCCUGAAGGGAGUUCCUCCUAGGUCUGGUCGGACCUUUGUAUGGUAGUUAAUUAAGAUUUAGAUCCCCUGUUAGGAAACCUGCAGGGUUAAGGGAAUUAUCAGUGGUUAAUGUUAAAUCAUAUUUUUCUAACAGAAUGGCCUCAUAUGUUAAUAUUCUUAAGUCAGUAAGCUGCCUUUUUGCUUUUUUGACUUAGGAUAGUUCUGACCUGGUGAGGUGUGCUCACAAUGAGGUUUCCUCUAAAAGUUAUUUUUGUACUUUCUUCAGUUAGCAAAGCAGUUGCUGCUACAGAUUGAAUGCAUUUGGGCCAUCCCCGGGUUACUGGGUUAAGGAUUUUUGAUAGGAAGGCUACUGGUUGUCAGUGGCCUCCGUGCUUUUGGGAUAUGCCCUUGUUUACACUGACAACAAGAUGGAAUAGCUACUUGAGGGUAAAUCUAGGACAGGGGCAGUUACUAAUAGAUGUUUUAACCUUUCCACCUGUUGGAUUUCUGGUAAUUGCCAAAUGAGGAGGGGGUUUUGCCCAUCUUGCGUGAGCUUUUUGUAUAAGGGUUUUGUUUUUAGGGCAUAAGAGGCUAUCCAUAGAUGACAGUAUCUGACUUAUCUUAAAGUUUUCUAAGUUCUUGUUUGGUCUCCGGCAGAGGCAAGGAUAUGAUACUUUCAGUCCAUUCAAGCUCAAUUUGCCAUUUACCUUUGCUAAUUAAAUGACUUGUUCUAAUAUUUGACUAAAUAAAUUUGAAGACUUCGUAAACCCUUGAGGUAAGACUGUCUAUCUGUAUUGCUAUUUUCAAUCAGAGUGAGGGUCUUCUCACUCAAAGGCAAAUAGGUCCUGGCUGUCUUCCGUGAACGGACAAACCCAGAAGGCAUCUUUUAAAUCUAUUACCAUAACAACAGGGUGGGUAGUUUGGACUUGAUUAAUAGCUCUAAGGUCUUGCACUAACUGGUGUGACCCGUCUGGCUUCUUUACAGGCAGUAUUGGAGUUUUAUAGGGUCACGGAGAAGACUUUCAAUUAUAGGUUUUACAUUUACCCUGGCUUUUAAAGGAAUAGGGUACAUUGCUUUCUCUUUACUACUUCUAGCUCUCUCUCUCUCUCUCUCUCUCUCUCUGACUCUCUGUCUCUUUCUCUCUCUGACUCUCUUAAGUUUUUUUUUUUUUAUCCUUCUAAUAUUUUAACAUUAGUCCUGGGGGAUUAUUGGGGGAAUAUUAUUGUUGCUAGCUUUAUUUCUUUUAUCCUGUACCUUACUUGGGGUAUUUCCCAUUUUUGGGGUGAGGCUCAAUUUCCCUUACCAGAAAUAUCUCACCUUUUGGAGGGAGGCUCAAUUUCCCUUACUGGCAAUGUCUCACCUUUUGGGGUGAGGCUCAAUUUCCCUCACUGGAAAUGUCUUGCCUUUUAGGGUGAGGCUCAAUUUCCCCUACUGGAAAUGUCUCACCUUUUGGGGUGAGGCUCAAUUUCCCUCACUGGAAAUGUCUCACCUUUUGGGGCGAGGCUCGAUUUCCCUUACCGGAAAUAUCUUGCCUCUUUUUAAUCCCCAAGAUACCCCGACCAAGGAAUACUUCACUGCCCCCUGUGGUUUUUCUUUCCUUAGUCCCGGCUAAGGAAUGCUUUACCACCCCUACGGCUUCUUUUUCCUUGGUAUGUCCCAACCAAGGAAUGUUUCACUGCCCCUGCAGUUUUUCUUUCCUUAGUCCCUACCACCAAAGGAAUACUUUACCAGCUCCUCCGCUGUUUCCUUCUUUGGCUUGUGCGUGAUGUUGUCUGGUCCACGUGGUAUGUAAGGAUCCUUUACCCCAGGUCACCGGCCAGUUUCUUUCCACAUUGCUGAGAGUCUGGGUUUAUUCAUCACACCAGGUAGGUCUCGGUUCCUCACCCCUGAGGCUGCCGAAAUGAGGCGGCGGGGCACCUCCUUACAAGAGAGGACUGGAGACCGCCCAGAGGAGAGUGGGUCCCUGCAUGGGCCACCAAACUGUUAGAAAUGCAAAAUGCUUGUUCCCUGGUGCUGCAAAGAAAUAGCACUCAAACAUACAUUUAAUUUUCUCAGCAAGGCAAUUUUUACUUUCUGCAGAAAGGGUGCUCCUCACAGAUGGAACAAUGGUGAGAUCAUACCAGGACAGGGGAGGGGCAGGAGUUCUUAUUCCUGACGCUAGUAGCCCCUACUGCUGUGUUGUUGCCCUAAUGGCUAGGAUUGGACCGCACAGUCUAAGCUAAUUCUGAUUGGCUAUGUUAAAAAGAGCAGGAGUAUGAGCUGGAGUGGUGAGGUGAGUAGUUUGGUGGGAAGGGCAGUUAGGAACAGGUAACUAAAGGUGACUUAGGUCAGAGCAGGUGACCACCAAGGGAACAGCUGUGAACUACUGAUUUGGACUGGCGGGAAAGUUGUUUACUGAAACUAGAGGCAAGGAGUUGAAGAGAACUAGGAAGUUAAACUUUAAAAUGAAGAAUCAAAGAAUAAGAGAGCUGGACAUACUGACAUACUGAUUCUUUGAAGAGAAACUUAGGGUUCACUAUAUUUAACAGGAGGCCGAGACAGGAGGAUCGCGUGAGCCCAGGAGUUUGAGACCAGCAUGGGCAAAAUAGUAAAACCCCAUCUUAUUAAAAAAAAUUUUUUUUUUUGAAAUGGGGUCUCUCUCUGUUGCCUGGGCUGGAGUGCAUUGGUGCUAUCUCCACUCCCUCAACCUCUCAGCCAAUCCUCCCACCUCAGCUUCAUGAGUAGCUGGGACUACAGGCGUGCACCACCCUGCCCAGCUAAUUUUCGUAUUUUUUUGUAGAGACAGGUUUUCAUCAUGUUGCCCAGCCUGGUCUCGAACUCCUGAGCUCAGGCAAUCCUCUCACCUCGGCCUCCCAAAGUGCUGGGAUUACAGGCAUGAGCCACCACACCCGACCUUAAAAAAAAUUUUUUUUAAUAUGUGGAAAGCAGACACGAGUAGAAGCCAGCACAACUAGCUAACUUCCCCUAGUGAUAGAGGCAGGAGACAGGCAAAUGCCAUCUAUGUCAUUAUAUAUAGGGAGCUUGCCUAAACAUGCCCACAGUGGAAAAUUCCAUCCCUUAACACAUGCACAGUAAGAGAAAUAAAUCAAUGCAGAGUGGCCAUUUCCUUUAUUGCCUUCUGAACAUUUACCUUUCUAGUGUCCUUUCUUUUUGCAUCUCGCACAUUAAUCUCUAGCCUCAUCCGGCUCUUGAAUCCUUGCCUAACUUGACUUCUUUCACAUCUACAUCCACAUCCAUGUCCUCUCACGGUGCUAAUUUUUCUUUUUAUGAGAGCUGUUGCUAACAGAUUGGCUUUUUUUUCUUAAGUCUUUAAUUUACUUUUUUUUUUUUUUUUUUUUUUUUCUGAGUUCUCCUGCUCCUACGGCCAGCUGGCGGGGCUGGGCAACGGCACGGGCCUUGCCCCCGCGCACUGCUGUCUGUCUCUCCUGUUUUCUUCUGAUUCUCUUUUUCACACUUACUCUUAGUGUUUCUUUUUCCUUUGCUCUUUCCCAGUUUUGUUCCUUGGUCACAGUUAACAUACACCUUGGUGGCCACUUUUAUAGACUAGGUGGUAUUCAUGCCUGCAGCUUCUGCUUGAUGUUACCCUGGGCUUGCUUUACAAAUAAAAUAUUCAGUGCAUACUGAUUUUCAGCAGCCUCAGGGUUAAGUGGGGUAUAAAGCCAGAAUGCUUUAUAGAGUCUCUUAUAAAACUGACUUAGGCUCUUGUCAGCUCCUUGAAGGAUUUCUGAAAUCUUUUUUAUAUUACUUGCUUUUUUCUACCAACUUUUAGACUCUGCAGAAGUGCUUCUCAGUACCUCUGCAAAUGCUGAAGCUGAAUUGCAUUCUCUGGGUCUUUUUUUCCCUUUUUUCUAGAGUUUAACAGGCUCUUUUCUUUAUACAAUUUUUUAUGCACUUGGAGGGUUAAACAGGCAUACCCAGAGUCAGUGUAAAUGUUUACAAGUCUUACCUUCACUGAGUUCUAAGGCCCGAAUUAAAGCAAUGAGCUCAGCUUAACAACAGUGUCCAGGGUUACCACCGCAUAUUCUGCACCUCUCUCUCCUUGGGGGUUGAUGAAGCUGUUCCCGUCCACGUAUAGCUCCCAGUCUAUUGAUGCCCAAGGCUGGUCCUGGAGGUUAGGUCUGCUAGAGUAAAUUUGAGUCCAACACCUCUACACAGUUAUGCUCGACAGGGCUUUAGCUGCCGGGAGCAAGGUGGUGGGUUCAGGGUGUUUCCAGUUUAGUAGAUCAAUGGUUGAAAAGGGCUGAUAGAUGAAAGUCUGUUGUCCCCCCCAACCCCCCGGAUGUGGGCCUGGUCAUUAUAAUAGACAGGUCCUCGUGUCUCCCUGAGAGGCAUUUGCAUAGCCUCUCAGAUCUGAGAUGGCCCACUUGACUAUCUUGAUUUCCUUCCUUGGUCUCUCGAAGCUCCGAUCCUCCCCUUCAAGGUAAAACCUGGAGCGUGUUAGCUCCUGAAUCUCAUUUCUGAGGGGGUUGUUGGCCUCAGUAAAGCGGGGUAGGCUGGGAUAUAUGGAGAAAGAAUUUCUGUUAUCUCUGGCGGCUCCCGCAAAACUGGCUUCUCUUGCUGUUUCUGGGACUCCCUUUUUAACUCUGUCUGCCGGCGAAGCUGCUCUUUUACUUUUGGCUUUUUUGCAAUAAGCUGUUCAACAGGGCUAAAUUUAUGCUGGUUUUGCCUAUAUUAUAUUUAACCAUGAGUCAAUAUAAAGGAAUUUGAUCUAGGUACACUGGCUGCCCUCUGACCCCUGUCACCACCUUAAAUACAUGGCCAAUAGUUCCCUGUCUAUAGUUCCUUCGGUGGGCCAUCUAACACCAAAAGAGGGCAAUUCUAAUUCACACAGAGUUCUUAACCUCUAGGGGGUUAACUUAACUCUAUAAUCUCCCACAGAACCUUUCCUAAGGUUCUGUAACAUGCAUUUUAAUAGAGUAAGUUUUGAUGCUUUGAUGACUUUCCUUUUAUUUUUCUUUUUGAAAUUUUUUAACAUAGUUCCUAGCGGAGUGGGCUUACUUUGUGUCUGACCUAUUUUUCUCUUGAAACAAAAAAAAUUCACACUACAAGAAGGAAAGGGUAAAAGGUCACUCACUCGUCUAAUUCACACUAAAUCAAAAUCAAAACUAAAACCAAAGUGUUGUUAAAGGCACACCUGUUCGUCAAGCAAUUUAUGCCAAGUCAAAAUCAGAACCAAAACCAAAGUACCAAUAAAGGCAUGCCUGUUUAUCAAGCAAUUCAAGUCAAGUCAAAAUCAAGGUUAAAACCAAAGUAUCAAGCAAUUCAAGUCAAGUCAAAAACAAAAACCAAAGUGCCAGUACAGACACGCUGUGGGUGAUCAGGCCACGCUUCCACUCAAACGGAGUGGGCAAGUUCCAAAGACCAGUCUUACCAAGUUUCAGAUGUCCGGACUCCAAGUGCCUGUUCCUUCCCGGUGUUCAGCCACUGCGUUGAUCCUCCACCGGGGCCUGCCACGCGCUGCUCUGGCAAGGCGUUCCACUGGGGCAAAUGCCUACCCGGGAGCACUCUCAGGAUCCGCAUUGCUCAAGCCGGAGUCCCCCACAGGGAUGCUCUACAGAGCAUGCAUAAGCUGCCUAAGGGGCUACCUCGACCGUCAGUUAAUCACCUCAUUUCCCGGUCAGGGAACCAAGAAAUGUAGCAGGACGAGCCACAGACGAAACUCCUCAGACACCGAAUUAAAGAAGGAAGAGGUUUUUAUUCGGCCGGGAGCAUCAGCAGACUCAUGUCUUAAGAGCCGAGCUCUCCGAAAAAGAAAUUCUUGGCCUUUUUAAAGGCUUACAACUUUAAGGGGUCCAUGUGAAAGGGUCGUGAUAAAUCGAGCAAGCGUGGGAAAUGUGACUGGAGGCUACAUGCAUCAGCUAACAGAACAAAAAGUUUUACAGCGCUUUUUUCAUACAGUGUCUGGAAUUUACAGAUAACACAGGUAGUUUAGGUCAGGGGUUGAUGUUACUAUUAUUACUUUUUUUAACUCCUAGGGCCAGGUGGUGGUGCCAAGGUUGUCUGGCUAUUUAUCUUACUUUUGUUUUUUUCCAACUUUUUGCUUUUUAUCUCCUCCUGUCUUGUGAACUAGGCAAGGUGGGGGGAGGAGGGCAGCAGGAGUAGUAGUGGUCUCCUUCCUUAAGACUAAGGGCCAGCAUGCACACUGGAAGAAUGGGGUGGAGCCACCAGGAAUUCAUGCCUAAUGCUGGAGAGGAGCCACGCCUUUUCAACUUGCAUGUGAUGGCCUUGUAUUCAAUUUGUGAGGUGGAUACCUGCAUAUAGGACCCUCCUUUUGCUUAAUAAAUUCCGCCCUCCUCACCUUUCUUUUCUUUUUUUUGAGACUGAGUCCUGCUCUGUUGCCCAUGCAGGAGUGCAAUGGCAUGCUCUUGGCUCACUGCAAAACUCUGCCUCCCAGGUUCAAGUGAUUCUCCUGCCUCAGCCUCCUGAGUAGCUGGGACUACAGGCAUGUACCACCAUGCCUGGCUAAUUUUUUGUAUUUUUAGUAGAGAUGGGGUUUCACUAAUUUGCCCAGGCUGGUCUUAAACUCCUGACCUCAAGUAUCUGCCCACCUCAGCCUCCCAAAAUGCUGAGAUUACAAGUGUGAGCCACCGCACCUGGCACCAUCCUCACCUUUCAAUGUUUCUGCGUGCCUAAUUUUUCUGGAUUUAGCUGAACCAAGGAACAAAAAAUUCUGCAUCAUUAGUUGUGCUGGCUUCCACUUGUGCCUGCCAGUAUCCCACAUUUACAUUUAAUCUUGGGUUCCCAAAGACAGGAACCCCAUGAGACCAGGCCACACAGUGCUUCCACAGCACACCUUUCUGUAAAGACAUUCCCCUGAGGCUAGUGGGCAACCCAAUGCAAAUCAGCCCACUCUGUGAUCAGCUCAUCUUCCAUCAGAGUCUUAACCAUUGGUAGUGAAUGUUCCCACAACCUCCAGGUGUUCAAACCUGCCUUUUAAUCUAAGUGCGUAAAGAACAAAUAGCCCAUUGCAAUAAUAAUCAUUCACUACAACCCUGUCAGCCACUUUCCAGGUUUUGCCAGUGACUCGUCAGCCACUGCACACGCAAAAGUCAAGUUCUCUCUCAUAGUAAAAAGUAAUUCCUGGUACCCCAAAAGCCAAAGAUCAGGUACUACUUUUAACAGCUCUUGGCCUGGCACAGUGGCUCAUGCCUGUAAUCCCAGCACAUUGAGAGGCCGAGGCGGGCAGAUCACCUAAGGUCAGGAGUUCAAGACCAGCCUGGCCAACAUGUUGAAACCGUGUCUCUACAAAAAUACAAAAAUUAGCCGGGCAUCAUGAUGGGUGCCUGUAAUCCCAGCUACUCGGGAGGCUGAGACAGGAGAAUUGUUUGAACCCAGGAGGUGGAGGUUGCAGUGAGCCGAGAUCGCACCACUGCACUCCAGACUGGGUGACUGAGACUCCAUCUCAAAAAAAAACAACAACAAAAAACAGCUCUUAGAAUUCUUCAUUAGUUACAAUUUUGUUUCCUCCGUGGCAAUAUGAAUUGCAAUUUGUGAAUUAAAAACAUUAGAAUUUGAAAAAAUUUUGGCUGGACAUGGUAGCUUAUGCCUGUAAUCCCUAGCACUUUGGGACGCCGAGCGAGGCAGGCAGAUCACCUGAGGUCUGGAGUUCAAGACCAGCCUGACCAACAUGGUGAAACCCCUUCUCUACUAAAAAAAUACAAAAAUUAGCCCAGUGUGGUGGCGCAUGCCUGUGGUCCCAGCUACUCAGGAGGCUGAGGCAGGAGAAUCGCUUGAACCCGGGAGGCAGAGGUUGCAGUGAGCCAAGAUCAUGCCACUGUACUCCAGCCUGGGUGACAGAGUGAGACUCAGUCUCAAAAAAUAAAUAAAUAAUAAUAAAUAAAAUAAAAUAAAAUUCAAAAUUAUCUGGACAUCUGAAUUUUAUCUGACAUGCCCUUUCAUCAUAUUGCUAUAUCCUUUGUCUUUCCUCAAUUAUAUUUUAUCAAGAAGGCCUUUUCCAACCAUUUUAUUUAGUAUGGCUCCCCCACCUCCACUUCUCUCAUAAAUUGUUCUGGCCCUAGCACCAGCAUACAGCAUAGUUUCCUGUUUAUUUGCUUAGUGUCUGUCUCCUUCAGUAUAGAAUGUAAUCUUGUGGCGGUCAUGGUGGCUAACACCUGUAAUCCCAGUACUUUGGGAGGCUGAGGCACGUGGAUCAUUUGAGGUCAGGAAUUCAAUACCAGCCUGACCAAUGUGGUGAAACCCUAUCUCCACUAAAAAUACAAAAAAAUUAGUCUGGCAUGGUGGCACAAGCCUGUAGUCACAGCUACUCAGGAGACUGAUGCAGGAGAAUUGCUAGAACCCGGGAGACAGAGGUUGCAGUGAGCUGAGAUCGCACCACUGCACUCCAGCCUGGGCGACAGAGUGAGACUCCAUCUCAAAAAAAAUAAAGUAAUCUUGUGAGGGCAGGAUUUUGAUGCUAUGUUCACCACUGACUCCAAAAUGGCACAUAGCGGGCUCUCAGUAGAUAUCUAUUGAACAAAUGGAAGCAUAAAUAAACAAGCAAUGCUACACUUGCUUUCUCCAGCACCAUGGGAGCAGAUCCAGGGAGCAGACAGGGAAAGAAGGCUACAGCCCCUGCCCCCUGGUGGAGCUGGAAGAAUCAAUAAUUUUCAUUUAUUUAUUCAUCUAAUGUGCUUUGCACGCUCCCUAUCUGCCAGGAUCAGCUUGUUGCCAGGGAUACCGGGUAAACAAUCCCAUAAGGUUCCUGUGGUCUGGAGGAAGAAACAGACAUUAACGCACAAUAGGGAGAUGGUUACUUAAUUAUAGUGGUGAACUGUCAAUGAAGGAAAAGCAAAAAAAAAAAAAAGGUCUAACCUGGUAUAGGGGUCAGGGGAGACUUCCUCAAGGAAGGGAUAUGGAGUUGAGGCCUGAGGCUGAGCAUGAAUUAACUGGAGGCAGAGCUCUGUGGGUGGAGAUGUCAUUCCAAGCAGGAAGCCCGGUUAAUGCAGGUACCUUGAUAGAAGGAAGGCCAGGGUGAGGAAAAAGGCCGGGUUACAGGCAGUUACUAGGAACCUUGUGGCCUGACUUGUUGCUGAGGAGGAAGCAAUAGCCAGCUCAGAGGGCCUUGUAGUUCAGGUGAUGCCCCAUUUCUGUGUUAGUCUAUUUUUGCGUUGCUAUAAAGAAAUACCUGAGGCUGGGUAAUUUAUACAGAAAAGAGGUUUAAUUUGGCUCACAGUUUAGUAGGCGCCAGGAAGCAUGGCGCUGGCAUCUGCUCCUGGUGAAGGCUCAGGGAGCUUUCAAUCAUGGCGGAAGGUGAAGGAGGAGCAGGUGUGUCACAUGGUAAGAGUGGGACAGAGAGACAGAGACAGGGAGAGAGAGAGUGCAAGAGAGAGCAAAGGAGGGAGGAGGAGCCAGCCUUCCUUAAACAGCCAGCUCUCAUGUGAACUAACAGAGUAAGUACUCACUCAUCACCACGGGGAGGACACCAAGCCAUUCAUGAGGGAUCCGCCCCCAAGACCCAGACACCUCCCACCAGGCCCCACCUCCAACACUGGGAAUCGCAUUUCUUUUUCUUUGUUUUUUAAUUUUGUACUUUAAGUUCUGGGAUACAUGUGCAGAACAUGCAGGUUUGUUACAUAGGUAUACAUGUGCCAUGGUGGUCUGCUGCACCUAUCAACCUGUCAUCUAGGUUUUAAGCCCCACAUGCAUUAGGUAUUUGCCCUAAAGCUCUCCCUCCCCUUACUCCUCCCCCAUAGACCCUGGUGCGUGACAUUCCUGUCCCUGUGUCCAUGUGUUCUCAUUGUUCAACUCCCACUUAUGAGUGAGAACAUGUGGUGUUUGGUUUUCUGUUCCUGUGUUAGUUUGCUGAGGAUAAUGGCUUCCAGUUUCAUCCAUAUCCCUGCAAAGGACAUGAACUCAUUCUUUUUUAUGGCUGCAUAGUAUUCCAUGUUGUAUAUUUGCCACAUUUUCUUUAUUCAGUCUAUUAUUGAUGGACAUUUGAGUUGGUUCCAAGUCUUUGCUAUUGUAAAUACUGCUGCAAUAAACAUACAUGUGCAUUUGUCUUUUUUUUUGAGUCAGAGUCUCGCUCUGUCGCCCAGGCUGGAGUGCAGUGGCAAGAUCUCAGCUCACUGCAAACUCCGCCUCCCAGGUUCAAGCAAUUCUCCUGCCUCAGCCUCCCGAGUAGCUGGGAUUACAAGCGCACGCCACCAUACUCGGCUAAUUUUUUGUAUUUUUAGUAGAGAAGGGGUUUUGCCAUGUUGUCCAGGCUGGUCUCAAACUCCCAGCCUCAUGAUCUGCCUGCCUCAGCCUCCCAAAGUGCUGGGAUUACAGGUGUGAGCCACAAUGCCUAGCCAUGUGUCUUUAUAGUAGAAUGAUUUAUAUUCCUUUGAGUAUAUGCCCCAUGGGAGGGAAUCACAUUUCAACAUGAGAUUUGGAGGGGACACACAUCUGAACCACAUCACACAGCAUAUUCCCAACUCCAGCUCCCUCCUCUCCACAAGAAUGUAGGAUACCCAUCACUCCCAGGAUCAGCUUCCUUGAGCCCAAUCCUCUGUAACUCACUGAGAUGCUAUGAAGUGCCUGGUAGGUGCCACACUGUGCCACAGUCAUGCUCCAAGACAGUGUGGAGUGAGGGCCAGAGGGCCAGGAGGCAGGAUUGGUUUGGAGACAUUGCCUUUCUUCAAACCUCAGUUUCCUCUUAAAUCAAAUAAAUGAUUGCAGAAGAUAAGCUCAUAUUAAUUCCAUUUCUAGGAAAAAUCUGUGUUCCAAACAGUAGCACUGACUAAUGGAAAGUACAACUGGCUGUUUCCCUUGAACAGUGGGUUUAUUGUUGUUUUUCCAAUUAUAAAAGUAAUAAGAUUAUUUGUAAACUAUAGAACAGUAGAAAAAGUUUCUUGAAUGAGAUUUGGUUUUCAAUCAGGGCAAAUAAAGACUUUUCUGGGAUUAAGAGGGCUGUUUCUUCUCCAUUACUUUAUACGGACCCGUACUGGGGACUUGUCAGCUGUUCAAGUACAACGCACCCAGUUUUGGUUCUGUACCAGGAUUAGGCCUACAAUAUUUCAGAAUUCAUAUACAAACCCCAAUAAAGUGUUAAAGGAGAUGACUGCCCUAUAACCUAUGUUUUGCUGAAUGUUUACUAUGAGGUUUUUUUUUUACCAUCCUCAUGAGUAUGGUAUUGUAACUGAAACUCUCCAGGAAAAUUCCUCUGCUUAAAACUAAAAAUCAAGUGUAUCUCAGGAAACUCUACUGUCCCAUCUGAAAUGCCUCUGUUGUGUGUUGUCUGCAAAGGUGGAGUCUCCCUGUUUUGUUCAGGCUGGUCUCGAACUCCUGGGUUCAAGGAAAUCUCUCUCCUCACCCUCCUGUGUAGCGGGGACUGUAGGCACCUGGCUGUGGUGGAUACUAUUAAGCCAAAUUCCAGUCAGCAUCCUCUUUUCAAUGAAGUUGAAAGGAGAGAUGAUGAAACUGGCAGUGUUACUGAAUGGGAAAUAAAGGUGGGAAUACACAUUGUGAGUGAAGACACGGAAGUAACUUCUGCAAUACAACCUUGUAAGAGUCUUAAUGCUACACUCCUUUGUUUAUCAAAUGAUGUACCUUUAUCGUAAGGGAAGAACCUGGGCCAUUCCCUCUGGUGUUGAGAGGCAAUUUGGAAACUCUGCCAUUUCUUAGGACUGAGUAUUUAAUAUACUAUUUUGUGGAAAUCUGAGAGGCAGAAAUGGGAUUUAAUGAUCUCAACUGUCAUCCAUCUAAAAAACCUAAUUUGCAAUUUUAAAUAAAAUGGCAUGUUGCCUUCUACUAUUCUCUUUUUGUUUUUUGAGACGGAGUCUUGCUCUGUCACCCAGGCUGGAGUGCAGUGGCACAAUCUCAGCUCACUGCAACCACUGCCUCCUGGGUUCAAGCGAUUCUCCUGCCUCAACCUCCCGGGUAGCUGGGAUUACAGGCACACGCCACUAUUCUAGGCUAAUUUUUUUAUUUUUUGAGACGGAGUCUCGCUCUUUGCCCAGGCUGGAGUGCAGUGGUACAAUCUCAGCUCACUGCAACCUCUGCCUCCUGGGUUUAAGCGAUUCUCCUGCCUCAGCCUCCUGAGUAGUGGGAUUACAGGUGCGCACCACCACGCCUGGCUAAUUUUUGUAUUUUUAGCAGAGACGGGGUUUCACCAUGUUGGCCAGGCUGGUCUCAAACUCCUGACCUCAGGUGAUCUGCCUGCCUCAGCCUCAGCCUCCCAAAGUGCUGGCGUGAGCCACGGCUCCCAGCCUACUAUUCCCCUUUUAAAACAGGAACCAACCCUGCAUUUAAUUUUAUGAAGUCUGAUUUAUUUAUUUAUUUAUUUAUUUAUUUAUUUAUUUAGAGAUGGAAUCUCAUUCUGUCACCCAGGCUGGAGUGCGGUGGCGCAAUCUCGGCUCACUGCAACCUUUGCCUCCUGGGUUCAAGCGAUUCUCCUGCCUCAGCCUCCCGAGUAGCUGGGACUAAAGGUACCUGCCACCACGACUGGUGAAUUUUUGUAUUUUUAGUAGAGAUGGGGUUUCACGAUGCUGGUCAGGCUGUUCCACUAUGUUGGCCAGGCUGGUUUCAAACUCCUGACCUCAGGUGAUCCGCCUGCCUCGGCCUCCCAAAGUGCUGGGAUUACAGACGUGAGUCACUCUGCCCAGCCGAA